RNAcentral lists this ribosomal RNA (397 nucleotides) under uncultured bacterium. Its description in RNAcentral is "partial 16S ribosomal RNA". It matches the Rfam family "Bacterial small subunit ribosomal RNA", at positions 523 to 918 of the family's 1533-position model. The record is from RNAcentral.
AUACGUAGGGGGCGAGCGUUGUCCGGAAUGAUUGGGCGUAAAGGACGCGUAGGCGGCGCGGUAAGUCUGGAGUGAAAGUCCUGCUUUCAAGGUGGGAAUUGCUUUGGAUACUGCCGCGCUUGAGUGCAGGAGAGGUUAUCGGAAUUCCCGGUGUAGCGGUGAAAUGCGUAGAGAUCGGGAGGAACACCAGUGGCGAAGGCGGGUAACUGGACUGCAACUGACGCUGAGGCGCGAAAGUGUGGGGAGCAAACAGGAUUAGAUACCCUGGUAGUCCACACUGUAAACGAUGAAUGCUAGGUGUAAGAGGUAUCGACCCCUUUUGUGCCGGAGUCAACACAAUAAGCAUUCCGCCUGGGGAGUACGGCCGCAAGGUUGAAACUCAAAUGAAUUGACGGGG